RNAcentral lists this ribosomal RNA (2325 nucleotides) under human gut metagenome. RNAcentral's name for it is "bacterial LSU rRNA". It matches the Rfam family "Bacterial large subunit ribosomal RNA", at positions 266 to 2598 of the family's 2925-position model. The record is from RNAcentral.
AGCCCAAACCAUCCAUGUUACGGCAUGGGGGGGGGUGUAGGACUACGCCGUUGCAUGAAGACAUCAGAGAAGAACUUUCUGGAAAGAAAGACCAUAGAGCAUGACAGUUGCGUAUUCGAAUGUUGUCGAAGCAUAGUAGUAUCCUGAGUAGCGCGGAGCACGAGGAAUUCUGCGUGAAUCUGCCGGGACCAUCCGGUAAGGCUAAAUACUCCCGAGAGACCGAUAGCGAACCAGUACCGUGAGGGAAAGGUGAAAAGCACUUCGAACAGAAGAGUGAAAUAGUUCCUGAAACCGUGCGCCUACAAGCGGUCGGAGCUCGUUAAUGAGUGACGGCGUGCCUUUUGCAUAAUGAACCUACGAGUUGCCUUUGCCGGCAAGGUUAAGUGUGACGACACACGUAUCCGAAGCGAAAGCGAGUCUGAACAGGGCGUAUAGUCGGCAGUGGCAGACGCGAAACCAAGUGAUCUACCCUUGGCCAGGUUGAAGGCUGGGUAACACCAGCUGGAGGACCGCACCAAUAAGCGUUGAAAAGCUUCUGGAUGAGCUGAGGGUAGGGGUGAAAGGCUAAUCAAACUUGGAGAUAGCUCGUACUCCCCGAAAUGCAUUUAGGUGCAGCCUUGCGGGUUACUGAUGUGAGGUAGAGCGACUGAUAAGAUGCGAGGGCUUCACCGCCUAUCAAGUCUUGACAAACUCCGAAUGCGCAUCAGUUCUACCGCAGGAGUGAGGGCAUGGGUGCUAAGGUCCGUGCCCGAGAGGAGAAGAAUCCGGACCACCUGCUAAGGUCCCGAAAUGACAGCUAAGUUAAACUAACGAAGUCUGACUGCUAAGACAGCUAGGAUGUUGGCUUGGAAGCAGCCAUUCAUUUAAAGAGUGCGUAACAGCUCACUAGUCGAGGAGUUUGGCGUGGAUAAUAAUCGGGUAUUAAGUUGUCUACCGAAGCAGUGGGAUCAUUGAUAUGAUCGGUAGGGGAGCAUUCCAGUCAGCGUCGAAGGCGUACCGUGAGGUAUUCUGGAGCGUCUGGAAAAGCAAAUGUAGGUAUAAGUAACGAUAAAGGGGGCGGGAAACCCCCUCGCCGAAAGACUAAGGUUUCCUGAUCAACGCUAAUCGGAUCAGGGUCAGUCGGGUCCUAAGGCUCAGCCGAACGGCGAUGCCGAUGGCAGAAACGGUUAAUAUUCCGUUACUACCUUCAGGAGUGACGUGGAGACGCAGUAGUGACAGUGCCGCCAUCUGACGGAAUAGAUGGUUGAAGGGUGUAGGAGUCGAUCAUGGCAGGCAAAUCCACCAUGAGAUCCGAACCUGACAGUAUGCCGCGUCCUUCGGGACAAGGCAAUAGUGCGCGUAAGCAUGCUGCCGAGAAAAUCCGCUAAACUUAAUCCUGCAGGUACCCGUACCGCAAACGGACACACGUAGUCGGGAUGAAUAUUCUAAGGCGCUUGAGUGAUUCACGGUUAAGGAACUAGGCAAACUGACCCUGUAACUUCGGGAUAAAGGGUCCCUACCCUUUUAUGGGAGGGCGCAGAGAAUCGGUCCAGGCAACUGUUUAACAAAAACACAGGGCUGUGCCAAAUCGAAAGAUCCAGUAUACAGCCUGACACCUGCCCGGUGCUGGAAGGUUAAGAGGAGAUGUCAUCGAUAAGAGAAGCGUUGAAUUGAAGCCCCAGUAAACGGCGGCCGUAACUAUAACGGUCCUAAGGUAGCGAAAUUCCUUGUCGGGUAAGUUCCGACCUGCACGAAUGGUGUAAUGAUCUGGACGCUGUCUCAACCGUGAGCUCAGUGAAAUUGUAGUAUCGGUGAAGAUGCCGAUUACCCGCGAUGGGACGAAAAGACCCCGUGAACCUUUACUAUAGCUUAACAUUGAAUUUGGGUAAUUGAUGUGUAGGAUAGGCCGGAGGCUUUGAAGCAGGUACGCCAGUAUUUGUGGAGCCGCUGUUGAAAUACGGCCCUUUGAUUAUUUGAGUUCUAACUCGCGUUGCGAGGACACUGUUUGGUGGGUAGUUUGACUGGGGUGGUCGCCUCCAAAAGCGUAACGGAGGCUUCUAAAGGUGCCCUCACGACGAUUGGUAACCGUCGGUAGAGUGUAAUGGCAUAAGGGCGCUUGACUGGGAGACUAACAAGUCGAUCAGGUAGGAAACUAGAGCAUAGUGAUCCGGUGUUUCCGUAUGGAAGGGACAUCGCUCAAAGGAUAAAAGGUACUCCGGGGAUAACAGGCUGAUCCCUCCCAAGAGCUCAUAUCGACGGAGUGGUUUGGCACCUCGAUGUCGGCUCGUCACAUCCUGGGGCUGGAGAAGGUCCCAAGGGUUCGGCUGUUCGCCGAUUAAAGUGGCA